CCGGCGACCGGCGGACGGGUGCGUAACGCGUAUGUAACCUACCUUUGACAGGGGGAUAACAUCGAGAAAUUGGUACUAAUACCCCAUAACAUCACCGGAGGCAUCUUCGGUGGUUGAAAACUCAGGUGGUCAGAGAUGGACAUGCGUUGUAUUAGCCAGUUGGUGAGGUAACGGCUCACCAAGGCGACGAUACAUAGGGGGACUGAGAGGUCAACCCCCCACAUUGGUACUGAGACACGGACCAAACUCCUACGGAAGGCAGCAG
This 265-nucleotide ribosomal RNA is filed under the name uncultured bacterium. RNAcentral's name for it is "partial 16S ribosomal RNA". It matches the Rfam family "Bacterial small subunit ribosomal RNA", at positions 88 to 354 of the family's 1533-position model. The record is from RNAcentral.